This 265-nucleotide ribosomal RNA is filed under the name uncultured bacterium. RNAcentral describes it as "partial 16S ribosomal RNA". It matches the Rfam family "Bacterial small subunit ribosomal RNA", at positions 444 to 700 of the family's 1533-position model. The record is from RNAcentral.
GACGAAAAAAGGGAUAUCGAACAAAUAUCCCCGAUGACGGUACCGUGAGAAUAAGCCACGGCUAACUCUGUGCCAGCAGCCGCGGUAAGACAGAGGUGGCAAGCGUUGUUCGGAAUUACUGGGCGUAAAGAGUCUGUAGGUGGUUUGUCAAGUCUUUGGUGAAAGGCCGUAGCUUAACUAUGGGAAUGCCAAAGAGACUGGCAGGCUGGAGGCUGGGAGAGGGAAGCGGAAUUUCNGGUGUAGCGGUGAAAUGCGUAGAUAUCAG